GAUUGAGAGUGAAAAUGAGAGAGGGAUGAGAGGAAUGAGUAACAAACGUGAAAAUAAAAACUAAAAAUUGAAAUCUAUUUGAAAUUGUUUUUACUUUUGUUACUCCUCUCUCCUCCCCCCUCCCCCCCCCCCUCCUCUCU
RNAcentral lists this microRNA precursor (140 nucleotides) under Prunus dulcis (almond). RNAcentral's name for it is "sRNA ncRNA". The record is from RNAcentral. Lineage: Eukaryota; Viridiplantae; Streptophyta; Magnoliopsida; Rosales; Rosaceae.